GCUUUCUGGACGGUAACUGACGCUGAGGCGCGAAAGCUUGGGGAGCAAACAGGAUUAGAUACCCUGGUAGUCCACGCCGUAAACGAUGGAUACUAGGUGUAGGGGGUAUCGACCCCUUCUGUGCCGGAGUUAACACAAUAAGUAUCCCACCUGGGGAGUACGAUCGCAAGAUUGAAACUCAAAGGAAUUGACGGGGGCCCGCACAAGCAGUGGAGUAUGUGGUUUAAUUCGAAGCAACGCGAAGAACCUUACCAGGGCUUGACAUCCUGCGACGACACUAGAGAUAGUGUUUUCCUACGGGACGCAGAGACAGGUGGUGCAUGGUUGUCGUCAGCUCGUGUCGUGAGAUGUUGGGUUAAGUCCCGCAACGAGCGCAACCCCUGUUGUUAGUUGCCAUCAGGUAAAGCUGGGCACUCUAACGAGACUGCCGGUGACAAAUCGGAGGAAGGUGGGGAUGACGUCAAAUCAUCAUGCCCCUUAUGUCCUGGGCUACACACGUACUACAAUGGCUGCUACAGAGGGCAGCGAAGCCGCGAGGUGGAGCAAAUCCCUAAAGGCAGCCCCAGUUCGGAUUGCAGGCUGAAACUCGCCUGCAUGAAGUCGGAAUUGCUAGUAAUGGCAGGUCAGCAUACUGCCGUGAAUACGUUCCCGGGCCUUGUACA
RNAcentral lists this ribosomal RNA (662 nucleotides) under uncultured organism. Its description in RNAcentral is "bacterial SSU rRNA". It matches the Rfam family "Bacterial small subunit ribosomal RNA", at positions 724 to 1387 of the family's 1533-position model. The record is from RNAcentral.